UGACCACUAAGUAAUAAUCCAAAGGAUAUGCAAUCCAAACUCUAACUCUAAUCUUAUCUCUUUCUUAUUUAAAUUAGGUCCCUUCCUAUCUGAAUAAUAUCCCAUACCUAUCUGAGUACUGCCAAAUUCUAUGUCCCUGCACAAAGAAAGCUACAUUAUAUCCUCUGCAGUAAUUUUAUAUCAUAAACAUCAUGUAGGAAAGUAUCAUUUUUUUUGUAGUGUGGUUUACCACAGUUUAAAUAGUUUAUAAUGUAUCUUUCAUUUUAUUUAAAUUUUCUUAAUGGACACUUGAAAUUUGACUAUUUUUAGGGCCAUAGGUCUUUGCACGAUGGUACCGAGCAACUGAAUUAUUGUUUGCACUAAGCAGUAUGAAUCAGUUGUUGAUGUCUGGGAUGCUGGUUGUAUUCUUCCUGAAUUGCUGCUUAGACAACCUUUCUCUAGUUUUAUAAAUGUAGUCCAUAUAAUUAUUUGUUUCAAUCUAUUCGUGAUUGAGAUAUAUUCUCUAUGCUUUUCAGCGUAACAUGUAAUUAGAUAGUUAAUUUAUGACGUGAGAACCACAUGUUUAAAAUAGUAGUAUUAUGUACCACUCAAAACAUUGUUCUCAAAGCUCGACCGACAAGUACACUUCUUUCGACAAUCUAAUAGGUUGAACUGGACAAGCUGACCUAGUUUAUGAUUCAAUACUUUUUGGAGGAUUCGAACAUUUGAUUGUAGAUUGUUCAAAUAGAGAGCUAUUUCUUCUAGCCACGACAUCCAAUCAUCAUUUGUGCCAUAUGUGAGGAAAACUGGGUAGAAACAAAAUAUAGUAGUGUGACAAAGAAAUGUUUAAAUGAAUUAAGGUUGUUUUAAAUUUCGGUACUUGUUAAUAUAGCAUGUUCAUAUUCAUAAGUUUUUUUUCUAGGUUUCACAGAAAUGGUUGUGCUUGGUACUGGCUAUAAGACAUUUAGUUAUUUUGUUAAAUUGUGCUUCUUUUUCUACUGGUAAAGAUCCAUGCAAUCAUGGGUGAUGUGAUUUUGUUUAAUUAAUGCAGGAGGAAAUGUCAAAAAUUUGUGAAGUAGUUCAUGAUGGUAUAGUGGAACAUAAAUUGCCAGUGUGUGGACAUAAAAAAUGUAGCAAGCGGCCUAUUAUAUGUAACUAGAAGUAUCUUUCUUUCUUUCUCCUAGAUGGUAUCACAGCUGGUGAUUACAAAUUCUGGGUUAUCAUAUUUACAAUAUUUUUUCUGUUUUUUAACUCAUUAAAAAAUCCAACCUGCUAAUGAACAUAGGUACACCCAUUGUUAGAGAAGCAAUGUUCCAUACUCACCAUUAUGGUUUUCAUUUUUUUCUUAAAGUUAUAAGUCAAGUUCUUACUAGUUUAAGAGGUUCCAAUGGUAGUAUAUGUUGAAUUUUGGAGUCUCAUUAAAUGCUUUAUCAUUUAUGUCUUGGUUUGAAGAUUUUCAUACAUGGAAAGAUAUCUUAUGAGCCUUCUAAUGUCAACACGAUGCUCUUUUUCUGAGUCUGAAGCUGCAAUUGAUCUAGAAUGUUUGUUAGUUUUCUAGAAUACGAGAAUGUUUGUUCAUUUUCUCUCUAUUUCCGGUUUCAUUGGAAAUAUUUUUCAGGGUAACACCAUUUAGCACGUGACUCCCACAUUUGGCUUUUGUUUAUCUGCUUCUUUAUUAUUGCUUUGUGUAUAGCUGUUGCAGACUACAUGGUGGUUCCAGAUUAUCACGAUAGUCCUAGUACUAGUACUCCAUGGUAUAAACUUGGUUUCCUUUUCCUGCCAUACUAAUCUCUCUUGCACAGUUGCAUGCAGUAUGCAUACAUGACAGUCUAGAGACAGAGUUGGAAUAGAAUACUUGCGUAAGGAUGCAAAAAAAAAAUUCUAUUUUCCCCUCUUGGCCAGUUUCAUGCAACUAUACAUUAUUUUAGGUGUAGUGUCAUAAUUGAAAAUAAAAAGGAUGGUUAAGAUUUCUUGCUUAUGGUUAUUCUAGCUUAUAAGCAGGAUUUGAUAUUGCUAAUCGAGUUUCUUUUCGUGCGACUAUACAAUACUUUUGUACCUGCAUUGUUAUUUAGAAUUGGAUAUAUUGAGGGACAGAGGGUUGGUGAUUUCUCUCUUCCAUAUCCGAACUUAUCAACUCGUCAUAGAUGAUAGUGUGGAUUCACAUGAUGAAACUUUAGUUUGUAUCAACCUCAUCAACCCUUGUCCCUGGAUAUAAUUGGUUGCUCGUGUACUUUUUUUGGUUACGCUGACUGUACUUGCUGAUGUGCAUGUAUCCUUGAUUCUUUCUUGAUGGUGUCCUUUUAUCACAUUGUAUGGUCUCUUUCUAUUCGGGGAUAAUUAUUGUGUUCUAGAUAAAGUGAUAAACAUCACCAUACAUCUUCUAAGUUGAUGUAUUAGCUUUCUGAAUGUAUUAUGUUGUUCUAUAAUGUUAGAAGCAACAAACUAUAGUUUUUUCCUUUUACCCAUGGCAUUACAAUAAUGCAAAUUAUUUUUUACAAUUUUCUCAUCAUUGAGUUCCUGUCCUUGUCCGAGUAUAAUAAAUAUACUAAUGGAUGUUCUGUUGUGUUGCAAGUUGGGAGGUUACAUGAUGUCUUGCAUGUGACGGUGAGACUCGGCCUCCGCUAUGACCUCUCAGUCCUGACCUUUUGUGCUUCAAACUAUUUGGCACUGAUGAGCGAUGCUGGAGUGGUACAUGAAGCAUCAGGUUGCCGCGGGGCUCAUGGAUGCGACAACAAUAUCGUUGGGCAAGUGGAUGUGGCGGUGGAUUUUGGAGGGAGAAGUGGAACUAGCCAGGGGAGGUAGCCAUGGUCGCUGGAUUUUGUUGGCCAAUAGAGCC
Long non-coding RNA from Lolium rigidum, 2815 nucleotides. RefSeq lists it as uncharacterized. The record is from RefSeq and is a predicted model, not a curated record. The transcript is spliced from 3 exons. NCBI's taxonomy places the organism in Eukaryota, Viridiplantae, Streptophyta, Magnoliopsida, Poales, Poaceae.